GAUGAACGCUGGCGGCGUGCCUAAUACAUGCAAGUCGAGCGAACAGAUGAGGAGCUUGCUCCUCUGACGUUAGCGGCGGACGGGUGAGUAACACGUGGAUAACCUACCUAUAAGACUGGGAUAACUUCGGGAAACCGGAGCUAAUACCGGAUAAUAUAUUGAACCGCAUGGUUCAAUAGUGAAAGACGGUUUUGCUGUCACUUAUAGAUGGAUCCGCGCCGCAUUAGCUAGUUGGUAAGGUAACGGCUUACCAAGGCAACGAUGCGUAGCCGACCUGAGAGGGUGAUCGGCCACACUGGAACUGGGACACGGUCCAGACUCCUACGGGAGGCAGCAGUAGGGAAUCUUCCGCAAAGGGCGAAAGCCUGACGGAGCAACGCCGCGUGAGUGAUGAAGGUCUUCGGAUCGUAAAACUCUGUUAUUAGGGAAGAACAAAUGUGUAAGUAACUACGCACGUCUUGACGGUACCUAAUCAGAAAGCCACGGCUAACUACGUG
Molecule: ribosomal RNA, 497 nt
Filed under: uncultured bacterium
Lineage: Bacteria
Description: partial 16S ribosomal RNA
Rfam family: Bacterial small subunit ribosomal RNA
Source: RNAcentral